CCGGCCUCACUCCGCGGCCCGCCAGGACCCGGCCCCGGUGAACGGGCUCGGGGUGCCGAGGUCCGGCUGCGGGGCCGGGAAGCCACCUCCACCUUGCCGUCUGUUACGACCCCCGAGGCGCAAGGCUGAGCCCCAUCUCGCUAUCCGGGUCCGGAGGGGUUCACCUUAGAAGGAUUUUUUGAAGCUCUUGGCGCUGGCUCUAAAAGAACCCACUUCCUUGCGGAUUUCAGGAGUCAAGAAUCCUUAAACGGAGCCAAUUUGCUUUGUAAAGCCAAUUGCCCAAGUGACUUGAGUUCGAAAGGAGAUACUUCCUGGACAACUGCUAUAAAAACAACAACAAAUACUUUUAUUAAUUCGGGGAGCCUGGUCACCAACUGGAUGCUCAGAUGGAACCCUGAGCAGCCCAUGUACAUGGAAGAUCUUUAUUGCAGAGAUCUUCAAACCAGAUGGCUCGCAGAGAUUGAGGAACUUGCCCAAGGCUACGCAGCUUGAUCUUCUAAGGGUGUGAGGAUACAGGCGUCAAAGACCCCGUGCUGAGACAGCUCCAUAACAACAUGCAGAUAUUUGGCAAUGAGGGUUCAGAAGAGGACUUGCUGUGGAGAAGAGAGAAAAGAGAUGGGAAGACUCUGUGAAUGAAUAGAGAACACUCUGCAAGCAUCCCAGUUCCUUUGGUUGCCCUGCAGUCUGCAGGUACCAGGAGAAAUCAAAAGCCGCCUGGAAGGGCUUUCUGUCUGUAUGGAGUCAAGGCAGUGUCUUCAAAUCUGUGCUUUCUAAAACAAAGAAAUAACCUUGAUGAAACAAAUUUUCCCCAGAGGAAGGGGAGAGCCCACAGUGAGCUGGUAAAGAAGAUGCCUGGAGCAGGCAGCAUCCUCAAAUGGAAGAGAUGGUGUCUUGCUAUGUUGCCCAAGCUGGUCUUAAAUUCCUGGCAUCAAGUGAUCCUCCUGCCUCAGCCUCCCAAAGUACUGGGAUUACAGAACAAAACAAUCAGCAGGCGGGUCUGCGGCAUUCUAAGAACAGACACUGGCAGGAACAAAGGUUACAGAAGUGAAUGACUCUAAGAAUCAAGCAAGACAUGGAGUGGCAGAAAAUUAAAUUCUGAAUCCCUAAAAGACAUGAUGCAAAGAUGACCUCCUCUCCCAAGGACAUGUCCUCAUCCUGCGCUGACCGUGUGUGGUCAUUUCAGAAAAAGCGAACAAUGGAGAACCUGCUUGAAUGAUACUUAGACCUGGGACAACUGAAAGGAGUUGCACUUAUACAAUUCGGUGCAGUGGAGUCCCCUGGGAGGAGCCCCAGUCACACGGGAAGAGACAGUCACAGCUGUAAUAAAUGAUGGCUAGCAUGUAUCAAGCACUGGCCGAGUCCUCAGCAUACAUUACAUUACAGAAUUCAGUGUGCACCUCAACACUCUGGGGGUGUAUUUUAUAGGAGAACUGUGGCACAAAGAGGGUAAGUGUCUUACUAACAGUGUGGCUCAUCUGCCAA
RNAcentral lists this long non-coding RNA (1482 nucleotides) under Homo sapiens (human). Its description in RNAcentral is "HSALNT0141518". The record is from RNAcentral. Lineage: Eukaryota; Metazoa; Chordata; Mammalia; Primates; Hominidae.